GACGAACGCUGGCGGCGUGCUUAACACAUGCAAGUCGAACGGAAAGGCCCUGCUUUUGUGGGGUGCUCGAGUGGCGAACGGGUGAGUAACACGUGAGUAACCUGCCCUUGACUUUGGGAUAACUUCAGGAAACUGGGGCUAAUACCGGAUAGGAGCUCCUGCUGCAUGGUGGGGGUUGGAAAGUUUCGGCGGUUGGGGAUGGACUCGCGGCUUAUCAGCUUGUUGGUGGGGUAGUGGCUUACCAGGGCUUUGACGGGUAGCCGGCCUGAGAGGGUGACCGGCCACAUGGGGACUGAGAGACGGCCCAGACGCCUACGGGAGGCAGCAGUGGGGAAUAUGGCACAAUGGGCGGAAGCCUGAUGCAGAAACGCCGCGUGCGGGAUGACGGCCUUCGGGUUGUAAACCGCUUUCGCCUGUGACGAAGCGUGAGUGACGGUAAUGGGUAAAGAAGCACCGGCGAACUACGU
This 467-nucleotide ribosomal RNA is filed under the name uncultured bacterium. Its description in RNAcentral is "partial 16S ribosomal RNA". It matches the Rfam family "Bacterial small subunit ribosomal RNA", at positions 28 to 506 of the family's 1533-position model. The record is from RNAcentral.